This 240-nucleotide ribosomal RNA is filed under the name uncultured Alphaproteobacteria bacterium. RNAcentral's name for it is "partial 16S ribosomal RNA". It matches the Rfam family "Bacterial small subunit ribosomal RNA", at positions 215 to 454 of the family's 1533-position model. The record is from RNAcentral. Lineage: Bacteria; Pseudomonadati; Pseudomonadota; Alphaproteobacteria.
UCGCCGAAAGAUCGGCCCGCGUCUGAUUAGCUAGUUGGUAGGGUAACGGCCUACCAAGGCGACGAUCAGUAGCUGGUCUGAGAGGAUGAUCAGCCACAUUGGGACUGAGACACGGCCCAAACUCCUACGGGAGGCAGCAGUGGGGAAUAUUGGACAAUGGGGGCAACCCUGAUCCAGCCAUGCCGCGUGAGUGAUGAAGGCCCUAGGGUUGUAAAGCUCUUUUGUGCGGGAAGAUAAUGA